UACGUAGGGUGCAAGCGUUGUCCGGAAUUAUUGGGCGUAAAGAGCUCGUAGGCGGUUUGUCGCGUCUGCUGUGAAAACUCGGGGCUUAACUCCGGGCCUGCAGUGGGUACGGGCAGACUAGAGUGCGGUAGGGGAGACUGGAAUUCCUGGUGUAGCGGUGAAAUGCGCAGAUAUCAGGAGGAACACCGGUGGCGAAGGCGGCUCUUUGGGCCUUACCUGACGCUGAGGAGCGAAAGCGUGGGUAGCGAACAGG
RNAcentral lists this ribosomal RNA (253 nucleotides) under uncultured bacterium. RNAcentral's name for it is "partial 16S ribosomal RNA". It matches the Rfam family "Bacterial small subunit ribosomal RNA", at positions 524 to 776 of the family's 1533-position model. The record is from RNAcentral.